Molecule: long non-coding RNA, 362 nt
Organism: Octopus bimaculoides (California two-spot octopus)
Lineage: Eukaryota; Metazoa; Mollusca; Cephalopoda; Octopoda; Octopodidae
Source: RefSeq, a predicted model, not a curated record
GGACUGUCGGUAUGAACGAUGAGGCAGUAAUGGUGAUAUGGCGAAAGGAAACGGACAGCAAGUAACCAUGGAAACAAGGUAACAAGAUGGCGUCGAAGCGUUAUUCAUUUCAUAAUUUCAUUGUUUUCGAAUUUAUGACCAAUGGAGAAAAGCGGGUUUCCAACUUAGAAGUAAGAUUCUUUCAUUGGAAUUUUGACGACAUCAAACAGAUAAUCCACAAAGAAGUAAUGUGUUAAGCUGGUGUUUCUCUCUUCCUGUGGACUAAUCGCACAUCCUUCAGACUGUAACCCUGAAACAUACCUCUGUGGUACUGUAUUUUUUUUUCUUUUUUGUCGGAGAUAAUAAAAGAAUCAUUUCCUGCA